UUUCAGUUGCCACAAAUAAAGCGAGGAACCCCCUGUUACAUGGCUCCAGAGCUCUUUCAGGAUGGAGGGGUCCAUUCCUAUGCCUCUGAUUUCUGGGCUCUUGGUUGUGUGUUGUUUGAAUGCUAUGCUGGGAUACCUCCUUUUGUUGGCAAAGAGUUUACCCAGUUAGUGAGAUCAAUCAUUUCUGAUCCAACUCCAGAACUUCCUGGCACACCAAGCCGCCCCUUUGUCAAUCUGAUUAACUCUCUUCUAAUAAAAGAUCCUGCUGAAAGAAUGCAGUGGCCCGAGCUUGCUGGACAUGCUUUCUGGAAAACAAGAUUUUCUGCAGUGCCUUUACCUCCUCAGCCUGCCUUUGAUAAUAUGAUAGAAGUUUCUUCUAGAUUAUGCCUUUCAGAACGGAACAGUGACAAACCAAUUCAAAACAAGACACCACAAAAGACCUGUGAAAAAGAUUCAAAGGCAUCCCUCAGGCAGGAUGAAAAUUCAAAUACUGGAUCUAGAGGUCACGUGACACCAAUCAAGGGCAUAUCCAGUGGCCGGAAAGCUCAAAUGAAGGGUUCUGGCAGGACACUUGAUGACAAGCAGAAAGACAUCUCAAGCAAUACUAAGGGCGUCAAUCUAUUACGUCUUUCAAGAAUUGCAAAAUCAAACUUAAUGAGGGAAAAUGAGAAGGAGAACUACCGCAGGCCAUUGCCUAAUAAUUCUGAGAAUGAUGCUGACCUGAAGGUUGAAAAUACUGACAUGGAACUUGAUUUUAAUGAGAAUAAUGAGGAUGAUACACAAGAUGAAGCUGAUGAAACUGACAGCACUCAAUGUCCCGAGUCAACUACUUCAACUCCAAAUCAGGCCGAGGGUCAUGUGGAAGAGAUGGAUAUUGACAGCAGACAUCCAGAUCCAUCAGCUAUGGUUAAUACACCUUUCUCAGAUGAUUCAAGGACAUCUGACCAUGAACCGACUUCUGAAUACGAAGUGGCUGCUAUGCUACCAAGUGAUAGCCCUCAGCUAAAGACUCCUGCGAUUAAAGGAAAUCCCGGGAAUGUCUCUGAUAUCUCAAAACCAUCUAAGAACCUUUCAGAUAUUCUCUGGCAUCCUUCUGAUCUUUCAGUUAGACCUGUAAUGCCUAGCAAAAAAUCUGAUAAAGGUUCAGAUGCGAUUCCUUCACUUUCAUUCGAUGCACCUCAGGUAUCUGAUUUUGUCAAAAUGUCAAAGGAGCAAUUAGACACUUUUAGUAGUAGGAUCAUCAGUAUUGUUAGUGGGAAUACUGCCUCUGGGGAGAAGCAGAAUGUGAUCAGGUACCUUGAGCUUUUGACCAGCAAUGCUGAGGCAGCCAACAUCUUGACCAAUGGACCUAUUAUGUUGGUUCUAGUCAAAAUGCUUCGUCACUCCAAGGCUUCGCUGUUGCGUGCUCAACUUGCUUCACUUAUUGGCUUGUUGAUUCGUCACUCUACUUUUAUUGGAGAUGAGCUGGCAAAUUCUGGAAUUUUAGGUGCACUAACCGAUGGUCUGAGAGACAGGCAAGAGAAAGUGAGAAGGUUUUCCAUGGCUGCUUUGGGCGAAUUGCUAUUUUACAUAUCUACUCAAAAUGAGCAUGCGCGGGAUAAUAAACCAAUGGAAUCUCCAUCUAAGGACAGCCGACCCUCAUCCUGUUGGCAGGU
This 1655-nucleotide long non-coding RNA is filed under the name Nicotiana tabacum (common tobacco). RNAcentral's name for it is "long non-coding RNA (NTAB_LNC003868)". The record is from RNAcentral. Lineage: Eukaryota; Viridiplantae; Streptophyta; Magnoliopsida; Solanales; Solanaceae.